This 468-nucleotide ribosomal RNA is filed under the name uncultured bacterium. RNAcentral describes it as "partial 16S ribosomal RNA". It matches the Rfam family "Bacterial small subunit ribosomal RNA", at positions 28 to 507 of the family's 1533-position model. The record is from RNAcentral.
GACGAACGCUGGCGGCGUGCUUAACACAUGCAAGUCGAACGGAAAGGCCCUGCUUUUGUGGGGUGCUCGAGUGGUGAACGGGUGAGUAACACGUGAGUAACCUGCCCUUGACUUUGGGAUAACUUCAGGAAACUGGGGCUAAUACCGGAUAGGAGCUCCUGCUGCAUGGUGGGGGUUGGAAAGUUUCGGCGGUUGGGGAUGGACUCGCGGCUUAUCAGCUUGUUGGUGGGGUAGUGGCUUACCAAGGCUUUGACGGGUAGCCGACCUGAGAGGGGGACCGGCCACAUUGGGACUGAGAUACGGCCCAGACUCCUACGGGAGGCAGCAGUGGGGAAUAUUGCACAAUGGGCGGAAGGCUGAUGCAGCAACGCCGCGUGCGGGAUGAAGGCCUUCGGGUUGUAAUCCGCUUUCGCCUGUGACGAAGCGUGAGUGACGGUAAUGGGUAAAGAAGCACCGGCUAACUACGUG